CAGUAGCCGCGGGAAUACGGAGGGUGCAAGCGUUAAUCGGAAUUACUGGGCGUAAAGCGUGCGUAGGCGGUUCGUUAAGUCUGUUGUGAAAGCCCCGGGCUCAACCUGGGAAUGGCAAUGGAUACUGGCGAGCUAGAGUGUGUCAGAGGAUGGUGGAAUUCCCGGUGUAGCGGUGAAAUGCGUAGAGAUCGGGAGGAACAUCAGUGGCGAAGGCGGCCACCUGGGACAACACUGACGCUGAGGCACGAAAGCGUGGGGAGCAAACAGGAUUAGAUACCCCUGUAGUCCCUGUCUCUUAUAA
This 301-nucleotide ribosomal RNA is filed under the name uncultured bacterium. RNAcentral's name for it is "partial 16S ribosomal RNA". It matches the Rfam family "Bacterial small subunit ribosomal RNA", at positions 509 to 809 of the family's 1533-position model. The record is from RNAcentral.